UUAAGUUCAGCGGGUAGUCUCACCCGAUUUGAGGUCAAGGUUUAUAAAACGAUCGAGUUACAUGUAACUCUAGGGUUAGAAAGCAGGUUCCGAGCCGACAUGACGUUGAACAAAUGCUUAUCACGUCAAGGAUCAGCUAAAGCGGACCCCACCAAUUCCUUUAGGAGGAG
This 170-nucleotide unclassified non-coding RNA is filed under the name uncultured Russula. Its description in RNAcentral is "sequence contains ITS2". The record is from RNAcentral. Lineage: Eukaryota; Fungi; Basidiomycota; Agaricomycetes; Russulales; Russulaceae.